GCGGCUUUAAGCGCUCCAGAGUUUCCCAAAGGCUCGGGAAACACGCGGGGAAUGCGCGGAGGGGGGGCCGGGCGCGGUGACCCCCCCCUGCCACCGGCCGGUGGGACAAGGGGUGGCAUUCCGGGCAUGGCCCUGCCGCCCUGUCCCCGCUGCGCCGACACGGAACGGCUCCGCUUAACCCCGCUGGAAACCGGGAAUGGUCACCGAGCAAACACUUGGAUUUCCGAGCCAGAAGGGCAAAGGGUGGAGAGGCGGCUCCUGCCACCAAAACCCGGGGAAAUCCCCCAAAUUCAGCCCGUGCUGUGGGAAGGAGGGAGAACACAACACCCCCCUGGCAGCGAGCACACGCGGCAAUAGUGCAAGGGAGCCGUGUGACACAAGGACAGCUCCCCAAAAACACCCCUGGAGGCUCUGUGGAGCCAACACACCCCGUGCUGCUGCCCCCCAGCCUGGACAAAGGCAAUAAUAAAUAAACACUCGGUGCCUCACCAAAGGCACCUUUUUUU
Long non-coding RNA from Parus major (Great Tit), 506 nucleotides. RefSeq lists it as uncharacterized. The record is from RefSeq and is a predicted model, not a curated record. NCBI's taxonomy places the organism in Eukaryota, Metazoa, Chordata, Aves, Passeriformes, Paridae. The transcript is spliced from 2 exons.